CCGCCGGCGACCGGCGCACGGGUGAGUAACACGUAUGCAACCUGGCCGUGACAGAUGGAUAACCGGGAGAAAUCCCGCCUAAUACAACAUAAUGCCGGGAGGGGACAUCCCCUGCCGGCCAAAGGGGCGACCCCGGUCACGGAUGGGCAUGCGGCGCAUUAGGUAGUCGGUGGGGCAACGGCCCACCAAGCCGACGAUGCGUAGGGGUUCUGAGAGGAAGGUCCCCCACAUUGGAACUGAGACACGGUCCAAACUCCUACGGGAGGCAGCAG
This 272-nucleotide ribosomal RNA is filed under the name uncultured bacterium. Its description in RNAcentral is "partial 16S ribosomal RNA". It matches the Rfam family "Bacterial small subunit ribosomal RNA", at positions 85 to 354 of the family's 1533-position model. The record is from RNAcentral.